Molecule: ribosomal RNA, 574 nt
Filed under: uncultured bacterium
Lineage: Bacteria
Description: bacterial SSU rRNA
Rfam family: Bacterial small subunit ribosomal RNA
Source: RNAcentral
GAGCUUGCUCCCUGAGAUUAGCGGCGGACGGGUGAGUAACACGUGGGCAACCUGCCUAUAAGACUGGGAUAACUUCGGGAAACCGGAGCUAAUACCGGAUACGUUCUUUUCUCGCAUGAGANAAGAUGGAAAGACGGUUUACGCUGUCACUUAUAGAUGGGCCCGCGGCGCAUUAGCUAGUUGGUGAGGUAAUGGCUCACCAAGGCGACGAUGCGUAGCCGACCUGAGAGGGUGAUCGGCCACACUGGGACUGAGACACGGCCCAGACUCCUACGGGAGGCAGCAGUAGGGAAUCUUCCGCAAUGGACGAAAGUCUGACGGAGCAACGCCGCGUGAACGAAGAAGGCCUUCGGGUCGUAAAGUUCUGUUGUUAGGGAAGAACAAGUACCAGAGUAACUGCUGGUACCUUGACGGUACCUAACCAGAAAGCCACGGCUAACUACGUGCCAGCAGCCGCGGUAAUACGUAGGUGGCAAGCGUUGUCCGGAAUUAUUGGGCGUAAAGCGCGCGCAGGUGGUUCUUUAAGUCUGAUGUGAAAGCCCACGGCUCAACCGUGGAGGGUCAUUGGAAACUG